UCCUGGCUCAGGACAACGGCUGGCGGCGUGCUUAACACAUGCAAAGUCAACGGGGAUGCUCAGGAAGGAGAUUCGGUCAACGGAAUGAGCUAUCUAGUGGCGGACGGGUGAGUAACGCGUGAGGAACCUGCCUUUCAGUGGGGGACAACAGCUGGAAACGGCUGCUAAUACCGCAUGACAUAUCUGUGUCGCAUGGCAUGGAUAUCAAAGAUUUAUCGCUGAGAGAUGGCCUCGCGUCUGAUUAGCUAGUUGGUGAGGUAAAGGCCCACCAAGGCGACGAUCAGUAGCCGGACUGAGAGGUUGGCCGGCCACAUUGGGACUGAGAUACGGCCCAGACUCCUACGGGAGGCAGCAGUGGGGAAUAUUGGGCAAUGGGCGCAAGCCUGACCCAGCAACGCCGCGUGAAGGAAGAAGGCUUUCGGGUUGUAAACUUCUUUGACAGGGGAAGAGACGAAGACGGUACCCUGAAAACAAGCCACGGCUAACUACGUG
Molecule: ribosomal RNA, 492 nt
Filed under: uncultured Oscillibacter sp.
Lineage: Bacteria; Bacillati; Bacillota; Clostridia; Eubacteriales; Oscillospiraceae
Description: bacterial SSU rRNA
Rfam family: Bacterial small subunit ribosomal RNA
Source: RNAcentral